CCUGCCUGUAAGUUGGGGAUAACUCCGGGAAACCGGGGCUAAUACCGAAUGAUAGAAUGUGGCGCAUGCCACGCUUUUGAAANAUGGUUUCGGCUAUCGCUUACAGAUGGGCCCGCGGUGCAUUAGCUAGUUGGUAGGGNAAUGGCCUACCAAGGCAACGAUGCAUAGCCGACCUGAGAGGGUGAUCGGCCACACUGGGACUGANACACGGCCCAGACUCCUACGGGAGGCAGCAGUAGGGAAUCUUCCGCAAUGGACGAAAGUCUGACGGAGCAACGCCGCGUGUAUGAAGAAGGUUUUCGGAUCGUAAAGUACUGUUGUUAGAGAANAACAAGGAUAAGAGUAACUGCUUGUCCCUUGACGGUAUCUAACCAGAAAGCCACGGCUAACUACGUGCCAGCAGCCGCGGUAAUACGUAGGUGGCAAGCGUUGUCCGGAUUUAUUGGGCGUAAAGCGCGCGCAGGCGGUCUUUUAAGUCUGAUGUGAAAGCCCCCGGCUUAACCGGGGAGGGUCAUUG
Molecule: ribosomal RNA, 517 nt
Filed under: uncultured bacterium
Lineage: Bacteria
Description: bacterial SSU rRNA
Rfam family: Bacterial small subunit ribosomal RNA
Source: RNAcentral